UCUCCACCUUUGUCUUCGAUUCAGCUAAACUUCAUUUCUAUCGCCUACCAAUCUUCCUCAAAUCUUCAAUCAACCUUGAGAUUCAUUUUUUUUUUUUUGAUCAAUCUGUUCUGAUGCUUCUUUUCCCUUUAUGUGGAUCUCUAGUCACUAUCGCCUCUGUCUCCUUUACCGUCGUCAAGAUCCGACUUCUGAUCUUUGGUGUUGCUCAUGAUAAACACCUUUGUGAGCUGUUCAGCCUCUUCCGUUUAACCACGGGGACUCAUUUCUACUUUUUUCACCACUGGAGAUAUUAGACUCGCACAAUCACUCCCGUCAUUAACGCCACACGCACAGACUCAGUUGCUGAAAGAGAUUUAGAUUUCUUGAUGAACGGCUUCAAUGCCAGGUAAUUAACUCCACCUCGAAUUUGACCAUUCGAACACUGCUCAAAACACAGUCUUGAUAAACCUUCAGAUUUUACCAUCUGAAUUAUCCUUCUCUGUCGAUUUCCUAUUACCAAUACUGAUGCACCUCAAUAUUUGUUUUCGGUCCAUGACGAGAUACUCAAACCGACGAAGAGUAACCUCUGGACCCCUUUGCUGACUUAUGCUGAGACAUUUAGAAGCGCCAAGCACUUCUCAAAGCUGUUUCCAGAUUCCUUGAGUUCAACUUCCUUAGCAUACGCGGAUGAGACUUGACAGCACCUGCACCGCUUGGUCUUCGUCACUCACUGAGAUGCUCAGACUCUCCAAAUCAUCAACUAAUCUGAGAAACACAUCUAGUUAACUCUCCAGGAGAUAGCACUGGUUUUGACUCUGUUCCAUCAUCCUUAAGUGCACCCUUUUCAGACGAUGAGCUUGACUUAUCCCCCACGAGGACACUGUCCAAUCCCGAAUUUUCAAGCUGCAUUUGCAUCUUGAAUUUCCACAUUCCGAAGUCUCCUUUACCAUCAAACUUUUCCACAUCAAUUUUGAUUCGAGUGGGUUUCAUGGUUACACACCGGAUCUUCCUUAUGUGUUCACACCAACUGCAGAUCUGAAACUGUAAACCGUGUUCUCUGCAAUAGCCUGAAGCUCUGAUACCACUUGUGAGGAACCAGAGAAGAGAUAUCACCAACGACAGAUGACACUAACACAGCCAAGCAACACAACCUGAUCAGAACUUUGAGUAUAUUUUUAUAGGACAAAGAAGCUUCUGGGGUGGGCUGAUCAUAAGGCUGACAAAACCUAGGCCUUUAUGGGGUUGUCGUAUGGGCCUUAGUUUAUAUUUGUGGCCCAUAUGUCCUGGCCCUAGAAGAGUUCGACCUUGUGUCUGAAUUGAGACAACAGACC
Molecule: long non-coding RNA, 1310 nt
Organism: Brassica oleracea var. oleracea
Lineage: Eukaryota; Viridiplantae; Streptophyta; Magnoliopsida; Brassicales; Brassicaceae
Exons: 8
Source: RefSeq, a predicted model, not a curated record